This 234-nucleotide unclassified non-coding RNA is filed under the name Hevea brasiliensis (rubber tree). Lineage: Eukaryota; Viridiplantae; Streptophyta; Magnoliopsida; Malpighiales; Euphorbiaceae. The record is from RNAcentral.
GACUAAUAUAAUUGCUUGCUACCUCUCUAUCAAGAUACCAGAUUUUUGCACAUAAACAUUAACUGCCAGGCUUCUCUAUCCUUCUCCUCCUCUUCACACAACCUUGCUUGCUUGCAGCAGAGCCCGGCGAAGCUCAUGGGCGAUUCCUUGUAAUUGAACUGGUUUUCGAAUGACACCAUUCAUCCCGAUCUGCACGCAUCUCUCCCAAUCUUCACCAGCGCUUGCAGUUAAUGC